ACUCCUGCGGGAGGCAGCAGUGGGGAAUAUUGGACAGUGGGCGCAAGCCUGAUCCAGCCAUGCCGCGUGAGUGAUGAAGGCCCUAGGGUUGUAAAGCUCUUUCACCGGUGAAGAUAAUGACGGUAACCGGAGAAGAAGCCCCGGCUAACUUCGUGCCAGCAGCCGCGGUAAUACGAAGGGGGCUAGCGUUGUUCGGAUUUACUGGGCGUAAAGCGCACGUAGGCGGACUAUUAAGUCAGGGGUGAAAUCCCGGGGCUCAACCCCGGAACUGCCUUUGAUACUGGUAGUCUUGAGUUCGAGAGAGGUGGGUGGAAUUCCGAGUGUAGAGGUGAAAUUCGUAGAUAUUCGGAGGAACACCAGUGGCGAAGGCGGCUCACUGGCUCGAUACUGACGCUGAGGUGCGAAAGCGUGGGGAGCAAACAGGAUUAGAAACCCUGGUAGUCCCA
This 446-nucleotide ribosomal RNA is filed under the name uncultured organism. RNAcentral describes it as "partial 16S ribosomal RNA". It matches the Rfam family "Bacterial small subunit ribosomal RNA", at positions 335 to 797 of the family's 1533-position model. The record is from RNAcentral.